UGUACAUACGUUUGGAUUUGGUUUAGACCAUGAUUCCUCUGCUAUGCAUGCUAUCUCAGAUGCAUCGGGUGGUACAUUUUCGUUCAUUGAGACUGUUGGUACUGUUCAAGAUGCCUUUGCAAUGUGUAUUGGUGGUCUCCUCAGUGUUGUAGUCCAGGAACUCAAGCUUACUGUUCGGUCAGCAUCACGUGGAGUAGAAAUUGGAUCCAUCCCUUCAGGAAGAUAUGCUAGUGAAAUUUCUGAACAGGGAAAGCAAGGGGUAAUAAACAUUGGGAACCUGUAUGCAGAUGAGGAAAAAGAAUUCCUUGUCUACUUGUCUGUUCCCUCAGCUGAAAUUGAGCAAGGCGCAACAAAGACAUCUCUGUUGCAAAUUACAUGUAGUUACAAGAAUACCAUAUCGGAAGAAAUGGUCAGUGUGGAGGGUGAAACAGUUGAGAUACGUCGGCCACCAGUGCUGUCUCCUACAGAUGUGGUAAUAAGUCGAGAGGUUGAUAGGCAGAUAAACAGGCUGGCAGUAGCAGAAACCAUUGCAGAGGCACAACGAUUGGCAGAAAUGGGAAAUCUUGAGGCUGCUCAAGCCGCGCUAACUAACCGAAGAGCGACCCUUCUGUCUUCUGUA
This 619-nucleotide unclassified non-coding RNA is filed under the name Hevea brasiliensis (rubber tree). Lineage: Eukaryota; Viridiplantae; Streptophyta; Magnoliopsida; Malpighiales; Euphorbiaceae. The record is from RNAcentral.